This 446-nucleotide unclassified non-coding RNA is filed under the name Cimex lectularius (bed bug). Its description in RNAcentral is "uncharacterized LOC106671823, transcript variant X3". The record is from RNAcentral. Lineage: Eukaryota; Metazoa; Arthropoda; Insecta; Hemiptera; Cimicidae.
UAUAAAACAAUAAAUUUGCCGGAAUGAUUCAUUUAAAGUUAAAACAUUUCAAUGGCGGGUCACAAACUCUAGUGCUUGCAGAAGGAACAAGUUUUUAGAAAAGUUUAUAGUUUAAUCAAAUGUAGUCUUCAAUUUAAGGGAAAUGUUUAUAUGCUUGAUCAAUCCUUGAUGGUAAUAAUAAAGGAAUACUUAAUGCCUUUGUUGAAGUUCCUUAGUUCAGUUCAAUCGACCUUUCAAGAAGUAAUUCCAAAUCUAAUGAUGACAAACGUCCAAAUGCUGAGACAAAUAAGAAAACUUAUAUUUGUGAAAUACGCAACCGAGUUGCUGAAAAAAUAAGCAUUCUGGAAAAACACUCUUAUAAGAACUGAAGACUUCAAAAUGAAGAUAAAUAUAAAAGAAAAAUGGAUGUAGUUAGUUUCUGAUUAACAAAACUUAUGUAAAACUUA